AACGAACGCUGGCGGCAUGCCUAACACAUGCAAGUCGAACGAAGUCUUCGGACUUAGUGGCGCACGGGUGCGUAACGCGUGGGAAUCUGCCCUUGGGUACGGAAUAACUCAGAGAAAUUUGUGCUAAUACCGUAUAAUGUCUUCGGACCAAAGAUUUAUCGCCCAAGGAUGAGCCCGCGUAAGAUUAGCUAGUUGGUGGGGUAAAAGCCUACCAAGGCGACGAUCUUUAGCUGGUCUGAGAGGAUGAUCAGCCACACUGGUACUGAGACACGGCCCAGACUCCUACGGGAGGCAGCAGUGGGGAAUAUUGGACAAUGGGCGAAAGCCUGAUCCAGCAAUGCCGCGUGAGUGAUGAAGGCCCUAGGGUUGUAAAGCUCUUUUACCAGGGAUGAUAAUGACAGUACCUGGAGAAUAAGCUCCGGCUAACUCCGUG
This 433-nucleotide ribosomal RNA is filed under the name uncultured bacterium. Its description in RNAcentral is "partial 16S ribosomal RNA". It matches the Rfam family "Bacterial small subunit ribosomal RNA", at positions 29 to 507 of the family's 1533-position model. The record is from RNAcentral.